GUCCUAGCCGUAAACGAUGGGCACUAGGUGUUGUCGGUAUCGACCCCGGCAGUGCCGUAGCUAACGCAUUAAGUGCCCCGCCUGGGGAGUACGGCCGCAAGGCUAAAACUCAAAGGAAUUGACGGGGCCCGCACAAGCAGCGGAGCGUGCGGUUCAAUUCGAUGGUACGCGAAGAACCUUACCCAGGCUUGACAUGCAGGUGGUACCGAUCCGAAAGGGGAGGGACCCGCAAGGGAGCCUGCAAUGGUGUUGCACGGCCGUCGU
This 264-nucleotide ribosomal RNA is filed under the name uncultured bacterium. RNAcentral describes it as "partial 16S ribosomal RNA". It matches the Rfam family "Bacterial small subunit ribosomal RNA", at positions 793 to 1055 of the family's 1533-position model. The record is from RNAcentral.